This 63-nucleotide transfer RNA is filed under the name Heterocephalus glaber (naked mole-rat). It matches the Rfam family "tRNA", at positions 5 to 66 of the family's 71-position model. Rfam says of the family: Transfer RNA (tRNA) molecules are approximately 80 nucleotides in length. Their secondary structure includes four short double-helical elements and three loops (D, anti-codon, and T loops). Lineage: Eukaryota; Metazoa; Chordata; Mammalia; Rodentia; Bathyergidae. The record is from Rfam by way of RNAcentral.
GUGUAGCUUAGUGGUAGAGCGUUUGCCUAGCAUGCAUGAGGUCCUGGAUUCAAUCCCUAGCAC